RNAcentral lists this ribosomal RNA (421 nucleotides) under bacterium. RNAcentral describes it as "partial 16S ribosomal RNA". It matches the Rfam family "Bacterial small subunit ribosomal RNA", at positions 355 to 777 of the family's 1533-position model. The record is from RNAcentral.
UGGGGGAUAUUGCACAAUGGGCGAAAGCCUGAUGCAGCGACGCCGCGUGGGGGAUGAAGGCUUUCGGGUUGUAAACCUCUUUCGCUAUCGAACAAGGCCCGCUUAGGGUGGGUUGAGGGUAGGUGGAGAAGAAGCGCCGGCUAACUACGUGCCAGCAGCCGCGGUAAUACGUAGGGCGCGAGCGUUGUCUGGAAUUAUUGGGCGUAAAGGGCUUGUAGGCGGCUUGUUGCGCCUGCUGUGAAAACGCGGGGCUUAACUUCGCGCGUGCAGUGGGUACGGGCAGGCUUGAGUGUGGUAGGGGUGACUGGAAUUCCAGGUGUAGCGGUGGAAUGCGCAGAUAUCUGGAGGAACACCGAUGGCGAAGGCAGGUCACUGGGCCAUUACUGACGCUGAGGAGCGAAAGCAUGGGUAGCGAACAGGA